GAUGAACGCUAGCGGCAGGCCUAACACAUGCAAGUCGAGGGGCAGCGGGUGUAGCAAUACAUGCCGGCGACCGGCGCACGGGUGAGUAACGCGUAUGCAACCUACCUCUAACUGGGGAAUAGCUCUGAGAAAUCGGAAUUAAUACCCCAUAAUAUACUUUUGAGGCAUCUCAAAAGAAUUAAAGCUCUGGCGGUUAGAGAUGGGCAUGCGUGCUAUUAGCUAGUUGGUGAGGUAAUGGCUCACCAAGGCUAUGAUGGCUAGGGGGUCUGAGAGGAUGAUCCCCCACAUUGGUACUGAGACACGGACCAGACUCCUACGGGAGGCAGCAGUGAGGAAUAUUGGUCAAUGGGCGCAAGCCUGAACCAGCCAUGCCGCGUGAAGGAUGAAGGCCCUAUGGGUCGUAAACUUCUUUUGUACGGGACGAAACCCCCGAUCGUGAUCGGGGCUGACGGUACUGUACGAAUAAGCAUCGGCUAACUCCGUGCCAGCAGCCGCGGUAACACGGAGGAUGCAAGCGUUAUCCGGAUUCAUUGGGUUUAAAGGGUGCGUAGGCGGAAUAAUAAGUCAGUGGUGAAAGCCUACAGCUUAACUGUAGAAUUGCCAUUGAUACUG
RNAcentral lists this ribosomal RNA (612 nucleotides) under uncultured bacterium. RNAcentral's name for it is "bacterial SSU rRNA". It matches the Rfam family "Bacterial small subunit ribosomal RNA", at positions 28 to 635 of the family's 1533-position model. The record is from RNAcentral.